CCCCUAGUAACGGCSAGUGAAGAGGGAUGAGCCCAAGAUUAAAAGCUGGCGUCAUUCAGGCGUCCGCAUUGUAAUCUCGAGAAGCGUUAUCUGUGCCGGACCGAGUCCAAGUCCCUUGGAAAAGGGCAUCAUAGAGGGUGAGAAUCCCGUUUAUGGCUCGGAGCGCCCGGUGCUUUGUGAUGCGCACUCCAAGAGUCGAGUUGUUUGGGAAUGCAGCUCAAAAUGGGUGGUAAAUGCCAUCUAAGGCUAAAUAUUGGGGAGAGACCGAUAGCGAACAAGUACCGUGAGGGAAAGAUGAAAAGAACUUUGAAAAGAGAGUUAAACAGUACGUGAAAUUGCCAAAAGGGAAGGGUAUAAAGUCAGACAUGCUUUGCGGGAUUCAGCCUUGCAUCUUUGCUUGGUGUAUUUUCCGUAAUGGCAGGCCAACGUCGGUUUUGGCUGCUGGAGAAUGGCAGAGGGAAUGUGGCACCUUUGGGUGUGUUUAUAGCCCUUUGCUGGAUACAGCGGCUGGGACCGAGGAACGCAGCGUACUCGCAAGAGCGGGCCUUUGGGCACCUUUACGCUUAGGACGUUGGCAUAAUGGCUUUAUGCCACCCGUCUUGAAACACGGACCAAGGAGUCUA
This 623-nucleotide ribosomal RNA is filed under the name Restiosporium meneyae. Its description in RNAcentral is "LSU rRNA". It matches the Rfam family "Eukaryotic large subunit ribosomal RNA", at positions 77 to 677 of the family's 3401-position model. The record is from RNAcentral. Lineage: Eukaryota; Fungi; Basidiomycota; Ustilaginomycetes; Ustilaginales; Ustilaginaceae.